CGUGAGCUCAUGUUUAUGUGGGUAUCAUUAGCAAAAUAAACAUAUUUUUACUAGAAAAGAUGAUAUCAAUAUGUUGUGUCUAUCGUGAAUUAUCAGAGUAACUGAAAUUAUUUAACGAAUUCGCGCUUAGUUUGCAAUAGAAUACCCUAUAAAGAAGGCUGUGUAUUUUGACGACAAAACCGAUAAAGGUGUGCCUCUCACCCACGAUUUGGCUCCAGAUGUGUUAAAUGAUGGUAACUAGUCCGAAAUAGAGGAUUUAGAUGGCGAAAAUGAUGUUGCUUUUGACGUUCAGAUGUUUAAAAAUAACACCGAUGACAAGGAUAUUGAAGAAACUGUGUUAGAUGAAGAACCUGUAUUGGAUGAAGAACCUGUUCCUUCAACGAGCUCCUCUUCAGCAAAGAGACAAUGGAAAGACAUGACAUUUCAGCAAAAAAUGUUUAUUCUAUUUUAGUUAGUAUGUAAUAACAUAUUAAACAGUCAUAAAAAUAAUUUUUAAUUGAC
This 501-nucleotide long non-coding RNA is filed under the name Diabrotica virgifera virgifera (western corn rootworm). RNAcentral's name for it is "uncharacterized LOC126884866". Lineage: Eukaryota; Metazoa; Arthropoda; Insecta; Coleoptera; Chrysomelidae. The record is from RNAcentral.